GCAGUAUCCUAACUGUGCUAAGGUAGCAUAAUCAUUAGUCUUUUAAUUGGAGACUGGUAUGAAUGGCUAAACGAGAAAUUAACUUUUUUUGUAGUAAAAAUUGAAUUUAAUUUUUUAGUGAAAAAGCUAAAAUUUUUCAGAAAGACGAGAAGACCCUAUAGAGUUUUAUAAUUUUUUGUAGUAAAUUCUAUUAGAUUUAUUUAAAUUAACUGCAAAAAAAUUAUUUUGUUGGGGCGACAUUUAGAUAAAAAAAACUCUUUAUUUUUUAUAUUUUUAUGGAAAAAAUAUUGAUCCUUUAAAAAAGAUCAAAAGAAAAAAUUACCUUAGGGAUAACAGCGUAAUCUUUUUUGAGAGUUCUAAUCGACAAAAAGGUUUGCGACCUCGAUGUUGGACUAAAAUUUAGGCAGGGUGCAGAAGUUCUGCUUUAGGGUCUGUUCGACCUAUA
Molecule: ribosomal RNA, 445 nt
Filed under: Wanella sp. 2 MM-2014
Lineage: Eukaryota; Metazoa; Arthropoda; Thecostraca; Balanomorpha; Balanidae
Description: partial 16S ribosomal RNA
Rfam family: Bacterial large subunit ribosomal RNA
Source: RNAcentral